Molecule: long non-coding RNA, 2076 nt
Filed under: Triticum aestivum (bread wheat)
Lineage: Eukaryota; Viridiplantae; Streptophyta; Magnoliopsida; Poales; Poaceae
Description: long non-coding RNA (TAES_LNC004721)
Source: RNAcentral
UGAAACUGAAGAAAGGACCUUUCCCUGACCACUUUGAGCCGAAUUUUUUCAAUUUUUGUGAAUUUUUGUUAAAUUUCCAUUGGUUCGUGUAGUCCACUUUGAGCACCAGAGCGGAGGCUAAAACAGCUAAAAGCAAGACUAAACUAGAACUGGAACCUUUACUUGGACAUACCACAAUACGCUUUCUACUUUGAGCGCCAUGACGAUGCUGCAUAAACUAUGACUGACUACUCCCUCUGUAAAGAAAAUAUAAGAGCGUUUAGAUCACUAAAGUAGUGCUCCCGAGUGGAAUGGCAAAAGGCUGACCCAUGAAAUCUCUUCCAGCAAGCCGGCACUGAGCAACCUGGAGAGCUUUCUUGAUCAGGGGAACAAUGUGAGCAGAGAACUGCAGAUGUGUGCCAUAGAAAUCUUGACAGAACUGGGUUUUGAUUCUUCGGCCAACCUCUGCACAGGAAUAAAAGAAAAUCUAAUAAAGAAGCAGUUGCAGAUAUUCCUUACUGAUGAUGAAGAGGGAGAAGAAAAGCUUAGAAAUACGGCUGGGAAAUCGCUGGCAUUACUUUCCAAGAUAAAAACUAUCUCUAUGUUCAUGAGACUCUAUGUUCAUAGUGAUGGAACAGAAUGACAUUCUUGAUCGUCUCAAUGAGAUACUUGAUGCUAAGAACAACAUCACCUACAGGACAGUAGCAUUGGAGAUCUUGGAGAACUUGUGCAGUCACUGUACAUUGGACAAGGAUUAUGUGAAGGAAGCCUUGCUCCCAAAUGUUAGCUUACAGAUUCAUUCAUCUAGUAAUUACAUAAAAAAAAUAGCCGGCACGACAAUAGUUUUGGUUAUACUUUUUUAGCAGUAUCAUCUGGGCAGUGAUUGUAUUUCCACAAGUUACAUUAUUGUUGCAGGUUCUCACGGAAGUACUGGCCAGUAAACGAGACCUCGCCAUAAAACAAAGAACAAAUUCUGCACAGGAUGAAUUGCUGUGUCUUGCAAGAGUGACCGAGGCAGUAAAGGCAAUUGUCGCAACCAAAAAACAUGAAGAAAACCAGGCAAUUUCUGGACCGGGUGAUGAUGAAGAAAAGCAACUGCCGUCCAAACACAGUGGCAAAAUCAAGUCACGUAAUCAGACAAAUAAGGAAUUCCGAGAAGCAUUGUUAUCGGCUUAUCGCUUACCUUGGUGAUGUGUGUCAGUGCAAAUGAUUUCAACGAUGUGGUCUAGAGAUUUCCUUCCAAGAGGGUGAAUUUGUGCGGAACCUCAAGGCUAUAGUCGAACAAAGUUGUGAGGCCAGAGCUGAUUGUCUAAGAAUCGUGAAGCUUUGCAGCCAGAUUGCGAUAUUAAUGCUGCAUCGUGGCCAUGUCGCGGACUUGGAGGAAUGCGUGAAGUCCUUGUGUAAGGACUCAAAGAUCAUGUCUAACCUCGAAAGUUGCAUGCUCUUUGCUGGGACUGAUUGCAGUGUGAAGAAGACUGCUAGGCCUCUCCUCUCCGACAUUGCCAAAAAAGCGCGCCAGUUGGUUGGUAAUUAGAAUGUAACUGCUUUCUAUCUUUGUGCUGUACUAUGUAUCAGGAACGAAAAUCAUGCCCCGGCCUACUAUAUUUAUCACAUUUUCAUUACAAAGAAACUAGUUAUCAACCCGUGCAUUUGCACAGGCUAGUCAUUUUUUAAACAGUUAAUGAUCAAACCAUUAAUAGCAUUUAUGCAUAAAGAAUAUUUACUGAUUGAUGUUUUUUAUAAAUUAAGAAAUUGAUGUUACUACUGAAAGUUGCAUUCUUAGAUGUGUUGUAGUUGCAAAAUACUUCCUCUGUAAACUAAUAUAACAUGUUAGGUUAAAAUGUCUUAUAUUAGUUUACAGAGGGAGUAGCAUAAAAACACUAAUGAAGAUUUAUACCAUAUCUCGGUUGCUAUGUGAAUCCAGUGUAUUGCAAGAGCCUUACCUCUAGUCAUGAAUGGCAGCAGUAUCAUAAGCUUCUUUUCAGUUUACAGUUACCUAGAAAUUCACUACGCAACAGCCAACAGGAGAAUCACCUUGCUAAGAAAAUUACCAGAUUAUUCCAAAUGCAUAAGGAUGGUUCUUCAUUUGCUCCUCAU